AACGUGUCGCGAUGGAUGACUUGGCUUCC
This 29-nucleotide non-coding RNA is filed under the name Leishmania major. Lineage: Eukaryota; Euglenozoa; Kinetoplastea; Trypanosomatida; Trypanosomatidae. The record is from RNAcentral. RNAcentral also lists the same sequence under 5 other names.